CCACUUCGGUGGGGAUUAGUGGCGAACGGGUGAGUAACACGUGGGCAAUCUGCCCUUCACUCUGGGACAAGCCCUGGAAACGGGGUCUAAUACCGGAUACCACUCUCACAGGCAUCUGUGGGGGUUGAAAGCUCCGGCGGUGAAGGAUGAGCCCGCGGCCUAUCAGCUUGUUGGUGAGGUAACGGCUCACCAAGGCGACGACGGGUAGCCGGCCUGAGAGGGCGACCGGCCACACUGGGACUGAGACACGGCCCAGACUCCUACGGGAGGCAGCAGUGGGGAAUAUUGCACAAUGGGCGAAAGCCUGAUGCAGCGACGCCGCGUGAGGGAUGACGGCCUUCGGGUUGUAAACCUCUUUCAGCAGGGAAGAAGCGAAAGUGACGGUACCUGCAGAAGAAGCGCCGGCUAACUACGUGCCAGCAGCCGCGGUAAUACGUAGGGCGCAAGCGUUGUCCGGAAUUAUUGGGCGUAAAGAGCUCGUAGGCGGCUUGUCACGUCGGGUGUGAAAGCCCGGGGCUUAACCCCGGGUCUGCAUUCGAUACGGGCUAGCUAGAGUGUGGUAGGGGAGAUCGGAAUUCCUGGUGUAGCGGUGAAAUGCGCAGAUAUCAGGAGGAACACCGGUGGCGAAGGCGGAUCUCUGGGCCAUUACUGACGCUGAGGAGCGAAAGCGUGGGGAGCGAACAGGAUUAGAUACCCUGGUAGUCCACGCCGUAAACGGUGGGAACUAGGUGUUGGCGACAUUCCACGUCGUCGGUGCCGCAGCUAACGC
This 769-nucleotide ribosomal RNA is filed under the name Streptomyces sp. RNAcentral's name for it is "bacterial SSU rRNA". It matches the Rfam family "Bacterial small subunit ribosomal RNA", at positions 75 to 858 of the family's 1533-position model. Lineage: Bacteria; Bacillati; Actinomycetota; Actinomycetes; Kitasatosporales; Streptomycetaceae. The record is from RNAcentral.